UAGCUUAGUUGGUAGUGCAUCUGCCUCGUAAGCGCUAGGCCGCGGGUUCGAUUCCCGC
RNAcentral lists this transfer RNA (58 nucleotides) under Diaphorina citri (Asian citrus psyllid). It matches the Rfam family "tRNA", at positions 8 to 63 of the family's 71-position model. Rfam says of the family: Transfer RNA (tRNA) molecules are approximately 80 nucleotides in length. Their secondary structure includes four short double-helical elements and three loops (D, anti-codon, and T loops). Lineage: Eukaryota; Metazoa; Arthropoda; Insecta; Hemiptera; Psyllidae. The record is from Rfam by way of RNAcentral.